This 509-nucleotide ribosomal RNA is filed under the name Salmonella enterica. RNAcentral describes it as "bacterial SSU rRNA". It matches the Rfam family "Bacterial small subunit ribosomal RNA", at positions 594 to 1102 of the family's 1533-position model. The record is from RNAcentral. Lineage: Bacteria; Pseudomonadati; Pseudomonadota; Gammaproteobacteria; Enterobacterales; Enterobacteriaceae.
GUGAAAUCCCCGGGCUCAACCUGGGAACUGCAUUCGAAACUGGCAGGCUUGAGUCUUGUAGAGGGGGGUAGAAUUCCAGGUGUAGCGGUGAAAUGCGUAGAGAUCUGGAGGAAUACCGGUGGCGAAGGCGGCCCCCUGGACAAAGACUGACGCUCAGGUGCGAAAGCGUGGGGAGCAAACAGGAUUAGAUACCCUGGUAGUCCACGCCGUAAACGAUGUCUACUUGGAGGCUGUGCCCUUGAGGCGUGGCUUCCGGAGCUAACGCGUUAAGUAGACCGCCUGGGGAGUACGGCCGCAAGGUUAAAACUCAAAUGAAUUGACGGGGGCCCGCACAAGCGGUGGAGCAUGUGGUUUAAUUCGAUGCAACGCGAAGAACCUUACCUGGUCUUGACAUCCACAGAAGUUUGCAGAGAUGCGAAUGUGCCUUCGGGAACUGUGAGACAGGUGCUGCAUGGCUGUCGUCAGCUCGUGUUGUGAAAUGUUGGGUUAAGUCCCGCAACGAGCGCAAC